Molecule: transfer-messenger RNA, 357 nt
Filed under: Chloroflexota bacterium
Lineage: Bacteria; Bacillati; Chloroflexota
Description: Chloroflexi bacterium transfer-messenger RNA
Rfam family: transfer-messenger RNA
About the family: Bacterial tmRNA, also known as 10Sa RNA or SsrA, is named for its dual tRNA and mRNA-like properties. Its role is to liberate the mRNA from a stalled ribosome.
Source: RNAcentral
GGGGACGAAAGGGUUCGACAGCGGUUGAUUUCGAGUUGUUGCGUGCCGAGCUGGCGUUGCUCGUAAAUCCACGCCAAACCUCCCUAAUUGGCGAAUCCAGGGAACUCGCCCUCGCCGCUUAACCGCGGUGACGUCGUCUCUCACCCGCUGCCGAGUCGGAGAGAGAACGGCGCCGUUCACUCGGAUGCCCGUCGCGGGCGGUUGGGACCGCGCCGGAAAGAUUAAUUCCACUCACCUGCUCGUAACGGUAGGCCGACGCGCCGGCGUGCAGGGACAACACAAGCGACGGCUACGCACGUAGAGACAGCCCGCGACGAUCGUCUGGACGGGGAGUUCGAUUCUCCCCCGUCUCCACCA